RNAcentral lists this ribosomal RNA (1220 nucleotides) under uncultured soil eukaryote. RNAcentral's name for it is "SSU rRNA". It matches the Rfam family "Eukaryotic small subunit ribosomal RNA", at positions 547 to 1713 of the family's 1831-position model. The record is from RNAcentral.
AUUGGAGGACAAGUCUGGUGCCAGCACCCGCGGUAAUUCCAGCUCCAAUAGCGUAUAUUAAAGUUGUUGCAGUUAAAAAGCUCGUAGUUGGAAUCGGUGCGAUUCGAGCAUGGUCUGCCCGAUUAAAAGGGUGUGUACUGGCUUGUAUCCAUCAAAGCUUGGUUGCUCCUGUCUGCUCUUAAUUGAGUGGGCAGCUGGCUCCAGGCCGUUUACUUUGAAGAAAUUGGAGUGUUUAAAGCAGGCUUUUAGCCUUGAACACAUUAGCAUGGUAUAAUGGAACAGGACUGCUGUCUGUUUCGUUGGUUAGCAGCAUGCAGUAAUGAUUAAUAGGGACGGUUGGGGUGGUUCAUAUUUCGUCGCUAGAGGUGAAAUUCUUGGACCGACGAAAGAUGCACUAGUGCGAAAGCAUUCCACAAGGACGCUUUCAUUGAUCAAGAACGAAAGUUAGGGGAUCGAAGACGAUCAGAUACCGUCGUAGUCUUAACCAUAAACUAUGCCGACCAAGGAUCAGAGGGUGUUACAUGGAUGAGUGUUGCAUGGAUGACCCCCCUGGCACUUUGUGGGAAACCAAAAGUUUUUGGGUUCUGGGGGAAGUAUGGUCGCAAGGCUGAAACUUAAAGGAAUUGACGGAAGGGCACACCAGGAGUGGAGCCUGCGGUUUAAUUUGACCCAACACGGGGAAUCUCACCAGGUCCAGACAUAGUGAGGAUUGACAGACUGAGCGCUCUUUCUUGAUUCUAUGGGUGGUGGUGCAUGGUCGUUCUUAGUUGGUGGAGUGAUUUGUCUGGUUAAUUCCGCUAACGAACGAGACCUCAACCUGCUAAAUAGUGCUGCAAGCUGUCAGUAUGGGUGAAGCCUUCAUGCGGCUGGAUCACGGUUCAGCAGCUGGGGGUGGAUCCUUGGCAAGCUGGUAGAAACUUCUUAGAGGGACUACUCGCGGUAAGCGAGCGGAGGCUUGAGGCAAUAACAGGUCUGUGAUGCCCUUAGAUGUUCUGGGCCGCACGCGCGCUACACUGUUGUUCUCAAUCAGCUCGCCUUGGCCGGAAGGCCCGGGCAAUCUUUUAGCGGACAACGUGAUGGGGAUCGACCAUUGCAAUUAUUGGUCGUAAACGAGGAAUCCCUAGUAAGCACAAGUCACAAGCUUGUGCUGACUACGUCCCUGCCCUUUGUACACACCGCCCGUCGCUCCUACCGAUUGAACAGUCGGAUGAAGACUCGAG